GCACAAGCGGUGGAUGAUGUGGUUUAAUUCGAUGCAACGCGAAAAACCUUACCCACCUUUGACAUGUACGGAACCCUUUAGAGAUAGAGGGGUGCUCGAAAGAGAGCCGUAACACAGGUGCUGCAUGGCUGUCGUCAGCUCGUGUCGUGAGAUGUUGGGUUAAGUCCCGCAACGAGCGCAACCCUUGUCAUUAGUUGCUACAUUCAGUUGGGCACUCUAAUGAGACUGCCGGUGACAAGCCGGAGGAAGGUGGGGAUGACGUCAAGUCCUCAUGGCCCUUAUAGGUGGGGCUACACACGUCAUACAAUGGCUGGUACAAAGGGUUGCCAACCCGCGAGGGGGAGCCAAUCCCAUAAAGCCAGUCGUAGUCCGGAUCGUAGUCUGCAACUCGACUACGUGAAGUCGGAAUCGCUAGUAAUCGUGGAUCAGAAUGUCACGGUGAAUACGUUCCCGGGUCUU
This 459-nucleotide ribosomal RNA is filed under the name uncultured Rhodoferax sp. Its description in RNAcentral is "bacterial SSU rRNA". It matches the Rfam family "Bacterial small subunit ribosomal RNA", at positions 923 to 1382 of the family's 1533-position model. The record is from RNAcentral. Lineage: Bacteria; Pseudomonadati; Pseudomonadota; Betaproteobacteria; Burkholderiales; Comamonadaceae.